Molecule: microRNA, 21 nt
Filed under: Picea abies (Norway spruce)
Lineage: Eukaryota; Viridiplantae; Streptophyta; Pinopsida; Pinales; Pinaceae
Description: pab-miR3693c
Source: miRBase by way of RNAcentral
UCAGGAGCUGCUCGUAGGUGA